This 568-nucleotide ribosomal RNA is filed under the name uncultured bacterium. Its description in RNAcentral is "partial 16S ribosomal RNA". It matches the Rfam family "Bacterial small subunit ribosomal RNA", at positions 355 to 914 of the family's 1533-position model. The record is from RNAcentral.
UGGGGAAUAUUGCACAAUGGGCGCAAGCCUGAUGCAGCCAUGCCGCGUGUGUGAAGAAGGCCUUCGGGUUGUAAAGCACUUUCAGCGAGGAGGAAGGUGGUGAGCUUAAUACGCUCAUCAAUUGACGUUACUCGCAGAAGAAGCACCGGCUAACUCCGUGCCAGCAGCCGCGGUAAUACGGAGGGUGCAAGCGUUAAUCGGAAUUACUGGGCGUAAAGCGCACGCAGGCGGUUUGUUAAGUCAGAUGUGAAAUCCCCGGGCUCAACCUGGGAACUGCAUUUGAAACUGGCAAGCUAGAGUCUCGUAGAGGGGGGUAGAAUUCCAGGUGUAGCGGUGAAAUGCGUAGAGAUCUGGAGGAAUACCGGUGGCGAAGGCGGCCCCCUGGACGAAGACUGACGCUCAGGUGCGAAAGCGUGGGGCAGCAAACAGGAUUAGAUACCCUGGUAGUCCACGCUGUAAACGAUGUCGAUUUGGAGGUUGUGCCCUUGAGGCGUGGCUUCCGGAGCUAACGCGUUAAAUCGACCGCCUGGGGAGUACGGCCGCAAGGUUAAAACUUAAAGGAAUUGAC